CUGAAACUGAAAACGGUUGUUGGUACC
This 27-nucleotide unclassified non-coding RNA is filed under the name Dictyostelium discoideum. Lineage: Eukaryota; Evosea; Eumycetozoa; Dictyosteliales; Dictyosteliaceae. The record is from RNAcentral.